RNAcentral lists this unclassified non-coding RNA (233 nucleotides) under Hevea brasiliensis (rubber tree). Lineage: Eukaryota; Viridiplantae; Streptophyta; Magnoliopsida; Malpighiales; Euphorbiaceae. The record is from RNAcentral.
AAAACGGAUAUAAAGGAAUAUCAUGGUAAAUAAAAAUAAAAAAUAAAACCCCUCCUGUCACGCUAAUUUAUCAUCAUUUUUUCUUGUCCCCUGCCUCCCAUUUAUCUUCCAUGGAAGUGAAAAUCAAUUCCAUGCUAUUGCCACUACUGCUACCUGAAUUAAACAUCACAUCAGCCAUAUCUGCGACAGGAAAUUCAGCUUCUUUAUUAUAUCGGGCAGUGGAGGGACCCGCG